GCUUCAGUGAUCGAGCUGGCUAAGACAUUCGCCCCAAAAAGUCGAGAGAUCCCAGGUUCAAAUCCUGGUUGAGGUA
RNAcentral lists this transfer RNA (76 nucleotides) under Acromyrmex echinatior (Panamanian leafcutter ant). It matches the Rfam family "tRNA". Rfam says of the family: Transfer RNA (tRNA) molecules are approximately 80 nucleotides in length. Their secondary structure includes four short double-helical elements and three loops (D, anti-codon, and T loops). Further hydrogen bonds mediate the characteristic L-shaped molecular structure. tRNAs have two regions of fundamental functional importance: the anti-codon, which is responsible for specific mRNA codon recognition, and the 3' end, to which the tRNAs corresponding amino acid is attached (by aminoacyl-tRNA synthetases). tRNAs cope with the degeneracy of the genetic code in two manners: having more than one tRNA (with a specific anti-codon) for a particular amino acid; and 'wobble' base-pairing, i.e. permitting non-standard base-pairing at the 3rd anti-codon position. The record is from Rfam by way of RNAcentral. Lineage: Eukaryota; Metazoa; Arthropoda; Insecta; Hymenoptera; Formicidae.